UAAUGCUUUGGGCUUGGUUGGCUAGUGUUCUUCCUUCUUCCUUUCCUUCCUUCCUUUCUUUUUUCUUCCUUUCCUUUCUUUUCUUUUCUUUUCUCCUUCCUUUCUCCCUUUCUCUCUUUCUUUCUUUCUUUCUUUCUUUCUUUCUUUCUUUCUUUCUUUCUUUCUUUCUUUCUUUCUUUCUUUCUUUCUUUCUUUCUUUCUUUCUUUCUUUCUUUCUUUCUCUUUCCUUCUUUCUUUCUUUCUUUCCUUCCUUCUUUCUUCUUUCUUCAAACUAAACAUCUCGUUUUCUUUCUUUCUUUCUUUCUUUCUUUCUUUCUUUCUUUCUUUCUUUCUUUCUUUCUUUCUUUCUUUCUUUCUUUCUUUCUUUCUUUCUUUCUUUCUUUCUUUCUUUCUUUCUUUCUUUCUUUCUUUCUUUCUUUCUUUCUUUCUUUCUUUCUCCUUGAAGGAAAGGG
Molecule: long non-coding RNA, 452 nt
Filed under: Monodelphis domestica (gray short-tailed opossum)
Lineage: Eukaryota; Metazoa; Chordata; Mammalia; Didelphimorphia; Didelphidae
Description: lncRNA (ENSMODG00000045247.1)
Source: RNAcentral